RNAcentral lists this ribosomal RNA (427 nucleotides) under uncultured bacterium. RNAcentral's name for it is "bacterial SSU rRNA". It matches the Rfam family "Bacterial small subunit ribosomal RNA", at positions 355 to 774 of the family's 1533-position model. The record is from RNAcentral.
UAGGGAAUAUUGGACAAUGGGGGCAACCCUGAUCCAGCCAUGCCGCGUGAGUGAAGAAGGCCCUCGGGUUGUAAAGCUCUUUUGUCCGGAAAGAAAAGCUUCGGGUUAAUACCCCGGGGUUCUGACGGUACCGGAAGAAUAAGCACCGGCUAACUUCGUGCCAGCAGCCGCGGUAAUACGAGGGGUGCAAGCGUUACUCGGAAUUACUGGGCGUAAAGCGUGCGUAGGUGGAUGCGCAAGUUGGGGGUGAAAUCCCGGGGCUUAACCUCGGAAUUGCCCUCAAAACUGCACGUCUUGAGACCGAGAGAGGUAAGGGGAAUUCCUAGUGUAGAGGUGAAAUUCGUAGAUAUUAGGAAGAACACCAGUGGCGAAGGCGCCUUACUGGCUCGGUACUGACGCUGAGGUACGAAAGCGUGGGGAGCAAACA